UCAGUGAGGCAUAAUGGAGAAGAAACCAGCUCAAGGGCAAAGCUGCUCAGCUGAAGAAAGUGAGAGGAAGCAGGGCCACCGAACUUGAUCUGCUAAUGUCUAGAUCGAAAAAUGUUCCCUGACAAAGUAUCAACUCCUUCCUUACCCCUUCCUGCAGAUGAAACUCCAUCAGGUGCCUGGAAAUUCGUGAUCCUGGUGACAAGAAGGGUCACACACGGAAUACCUGGAGAUGCUAAGGGGCUCCCAACUUCGAAGCCACUGUGAAGCAUCUCCCAUUGCUGACCCUGUCUCAGAGUUGGCUUACUGGGGACCCACCCUGCAACAGUGAUUUGAGAACCUCCAGCACUUUGUUGACUGCAAAUGGUGAGAGCAGACAUCUUUGGUUCAUCUUUGGUUCCGACCUUAGAGGAAAAGCAUUCAUUGUUUCACACUUGGGGCCUGGCAGCUUGCAGAGCCAGCAGAUUCAACGUUAUUUGGCUGUCCAGUGGAAAGGCGCACAUGGGAAGAACGCCGUGUGAGGAGAGGAGUAAUGCUGUCACAAGCCAGUGGACCAUCAGAAGCUGGAGAGAGGCCUGGGACAGGUGCUCCCUCAGGGCCUCAGAAGGAAUCGGCCCUGCCGGCAACUUGAUCUUGGACUUCUAGCCUCCAGGAUGGUGAGACAACAACUUUCUGU
Molecule: long non-coding RNA, 673 nt
Filed under: Callithrix jacchus (white-tufted-ear marmoset)
Lineage: Eukaryota; Metazoa; Chordata; Mammalia; Primates; Cebidae
Description: lncRNA (ENSCJAG00000079583.1)
Source: RNAcentral